This 253-nucleotide ribosomal RNA is filed under the name uncultured prokaryote. Its description in RNAcentral is "partial 16S ribosomal RNA". It matches the Rfam family "Bacterial small subunit ribosomal RNA", at positions 524 to 776 of the family's 1533-position model. The record is from RNAcentral.
UACGGAGGGUGCAAGCGUUGUCCGGAUUUAUUGGGUUUAAAGGGUGCGUAGGUGGCUUAUUAAGUCAGUGUUUAAAGUCUGCAGCUCAACUGUAGGAAUGGCAUUGAUACUGAUGAGCUUGAGUAAAGUUGAGGUAGACAGAAUUGAUGGUGUAGCGGUGAAAUGCAUAGAUAUCAUCAAGAAUACCGAUUGCGAAGGCAGUUUACUAAGCUUUAACUGACACUGAGGCACGAAAGUGUGGGGGUCAAACAGG